Long non-coding RNA from Magnolia sinica, 646 nucleotides. RefSeq lists it as uncharacterized. The record is from RefSeq and is a predicted model, not a curated record. The transcript has 2 exons. Lineage: Eukaryota; Viridiplantae; Streptophyta; Magnoliopsida; Magnoliales; Magnoliaceae.
GAGAGAGAGCCGUUUCCCCUUCUCUCACCAACCCCUCUUCUCCCAUUUUGAUUUCCCAUACCUCCUCUCCCAACUUCUCUCGCAUCAUUUUUCACAUUUGUGAGUUGAGCUUCGGGUGCAUUGACAUUUCUUCCUCAGGUUCACAGAUGUAUGUAAGGCUCCAAUACACUUUCCAUGAUGUAAAACUAGAAGUAAUGUGAAGUCUUUUUUCCAAGAGAGUGUUGGUGUUAUUGGGUUAUUAAUGCAGGGGCAUUUUCACACCGAGCUCUAGUGGGUUGACCUGUGGGAUGCAGGGGCACACUCGGGGUGGGUGGCUUGUGUGAGGUGGUACCCAUGUGAUGUGGGGCCCACGAGGAGGGUUCAGCCGAGGUCCUAACCCAUGGGAUGUGGGGCAUGGGCUAUGAGAUAAAGGGAUUGAUUCGCCAUGCUCUAUCAGUUUGAGCUUUUAGAGCAAGUGGUUAGUUGUCCUGCAUCAGUUAUGUGGACGAAUGUCUUCAUAAUUGUAUUCACUCACUCUUCCCUUUCUUAGUUGUUUCUGUUUGAAGGCUUAGUCUAACAUUAGCUAAGCUGUUCUUAUUAUAGUGUGUUUUUUGUAACUCAUUAACAUUAGCAAAAUGAAUUAAUUCAAUUCUCAAACUUUUUCUUU